GCGCCGAUAGUGUAGUGGUUAUCAUUCUUGCCUUCCAAGCAUGAGACAGGGGUUCGAUUCCCCUUC
Molecule: transfer RNA, 66 nt
Filed under: Kalmanozyma brasiliensis
Lineage: Eukaryota; Fungi; Basidiomycota; Ustilaginomycetes; Ustilaginales
Description: tRNA-Gly
Rfam family: tRNA
About the family: Transfer RNA (tRNA) molecules are approximately 80 nucleotides in length. Their secondary structure includes four short double-helical elements and three loops (D, anti-codon, and T loops).
Source: RNAcentral